This is a long non-coding RNA of Folsomia candida, 531 nucleotides long. RefSeq lists it as uncharacterized. The record is from RefSeq and is a predicted model, not a curated record. Lineage: Eukaryota; Metazoa; Arthropoda; Collembola; Entomobryomorpha; Isotomidae. The transcript is spliced from 2 exons.
UCCCAACUUGCUUCAUGCAUAUCUGUGUCAUAGCCAAUCUAGAUAUGUGCGUACGAAGAUUGAUUCAUUGAUUGUCACACGUAAUUGAAUUGUGAUUUGGUCAUAACUGAAAAAUAUAUUGCUUCAACUAUCAGCGACAACUAUUUAUAAAUCUCGACAUACAAAAAAUAAACCGAGUUGUCUAAGCUUAACUGUCAUCCAUAAAACAUAUAAAUCAAUUAGAAUGGGCAGCUGUGGGACCGUGGGGCUAGUUCUUCUUUGCAUAUUUUUACCUCCGGUCGCAGUUUAUAUUGAAACGGAAAAGUUUUGUCCUUACGUCGUAAUAAAUAUUUUGCUAUGGAUUUGUUUCGGCCUACCCGGAAUUAUUAACGCGUUCGUCGUCUGCUUUAUCUGCAAAAAUUGCCGAAAUAAAGAUGAUCAAGAGAAAGGCGGAAAAGCAUAGGAUUCGUAUAUGUUAAUGGAAUUUAGCCAUUUUAUAAUGUUAAUAUAUUUAAUUCUCAUUUCUUAAAAAAUAAAAUAAUGCAACAUAAA